RNAcentral lists this ribosomal RNA (841 nucleotides) under Genea sp. (in: ascomycete fungi). Its description in RNAcentral is "LSU rRNA". It matches the Rfam family "Eukaryotic large subunit ribosomal RNA", at positions 71 to 915 of the family's 3401-position model. The record is from RNAcentral. Lineage: Eukaryota; Fungi; Ascomycota; Pezizomycetes; Pezizales; Pyronemataceae.
GGGAUUGCCUUAGUAACUGCGAGUGAAGUGGCAAAAGCUCAAAAUUGAAAUCCGGUACCUUUGGUGCCUGAGUUGUAAUUUGGAGAGACAAAUUUGGUUGAUGGCACCGGCCUAGGUUCCUUUGAACAGGACGACAUAGAGGGUGAGAAUCCCGUGCCUGGCUGGGUUAUUUGCUGUCACACGCUAAAUUGUCUUCGACGAGUCGAGUUGUUUGGGAAUGCAGCUCAAAAUGGGUGGUAAAUGUCAUCUAAAGCUAAAUAUUGGCGAGAGACCGAUAGCGCACAAGUAGAGUGAUCGAAAGAUGAAAAGCACUUUGAAAAGAGAGUCAAAAAGUACGUGAAAUUGCUGAAAGGGAAGCGCUUGAGAUCAGACUCGAGCUGUGGUGAUCACCCGUGCUUCUGUGCGGUGUAACUUGCCACGGUUUGGGCCAGCAUCGGUUCUGGCGGUCGGAUAAAAGGUGGAGGAAUGUAGCUUCCCUCGGGGAGUGUUAUUUAGCCUCCACCACAAUGCGGCCAGCUGGGACCGAGGACUGCGUGGAAAUUUUCCGCUAGGAUGCUGGCGUAAUGGUCUUAAGCGACCCGUCUUGAAACACGGACCAAGGAGUCUAACAUUUAUGCGAGUGUUCGGGUGGAAAACCCUUGCGCGAAAUGAAAGUGAUCCAGGUGGGAACCCGCAAGGGUGCACCAUCGACCGAUCCCGAAGUCUUCGGAAGGAUUUGAGUAGGAGCACAGAUGUUGGGACCCGAAAGAUGGUGAACUAUGCUUGAAUAGGGUGAAGCCAGAGGAAACUCUGGUGGAGGCUCGCAGCGGUUCUGACGUGCAAAUCGAUCGUCAAAUUUGGG